GAACACAAAAUGGCGACACGUGGUUAGCAUUCGUCGCCAACGAGAAAUUGGGGUCGGCCCGAAAGCUCUAGAAUGCACCCCUCUUCCUCCCCGGGGCCUUCCACCUCCGCGAGUUUUAUGACUUAAAAAAGCCCACAGGCUGGUCUGAAGAGGAAGACAAACAUAAAGAUGAAGUGCUUAAUUCAAGGUCACACAAUGUCGGGGAUGGACCUCCAGAUUUCCUUACUGACCUGCAUUAUCUUGUGGAUACCUGAGUGAAUUCCACACCACCCAUUUUAUAGAUGAAACCACUGAGACAUGGAGCAAUUGACUGAGUAGUCACUGCCCCACCCCUGCCUGGAGCCUCACACAUGACUCGCCUCCUCUCAGUGACCACAGGUGAGACGUGGUCUUGUAACACAGUGGUUAAGAAUGUGACUUUGGAGCCAGCCUGCUAGGGGCUGAAUUCUGACUCAGCCAUUUACUAACUGUGUGACCUUAGGCUGGAGUGCAAUGGCAUGAUCUCGGCUCAUCACAACCUCUGCUUCCUGGGUUCAAGCGAUUCUCCUGCCUCAGCCUCCCGAGUACCUGGGACUACAGGCACUCGCCACCAUGCCCGGCUGAUUUUUGUAUUUUUAAUAGAGAUGGUUUCACUAUGUUGGCCAGGCUGGUCUCGAACUCCUGACCUUGUGAUCUGCCCACCUCAGCCUCGAAAAGUGCUGGGAUUACAGGCGUGAGCCACUGCGCCCAGCCUUGUAUUUUUUUUCAGUUUGGGUAGCUGUCCCUAAUUCAUUUGUUAAAGGAGAAGCAAGAGCAAGAACCUUUAAUCUGUUCUCCUCUUCCCUAAUUUGAAAGUAGCUUGUUAUUUUGAAUAUCACUUUCUCUGAAAUAGCACAUCUCCAUCUCAGAGAAUGGAUUUAAUGUUUGGAUACAGCCAAAAGUCAUUUCAUUACCAAACCAUGGGGUGAAUAUACCAUGUAAAGCAGUUUGGGAUCAGAACUCACAGUCUGAAUUGUAAGUGAUGAGACUGCUGUCUCUCUGCUACAGCUUCUUGGCUGGCUCUGAAGGCUCUUUGAAGGCAGAUCCUAACAAGGGGACUGCUUUGAAGGGCCAUUGUUCAUUUGGAAUGAUAAAGUCUAUGUUGUUCAAAAAACAAA
Long non-coding RNA from Homo sapiens (human), 1136 nucleotides. Ensembl annotates it as PCBP1 antisense RNA 1. Its record names the gene PCBP1-AS1. Lineage: Eukaryota; Metazoa; Chordata; Mammalia; Primates; Hominidae. The record is from Ensembl.